This is a non-coding RNA of Podarcis lilfordi (Lilford's wall lizard), 69 nucleotides long. NCBI's taxonomy places the organism in Eukaryota, Metazoa, Chordata, Lepidosauria, Squamata, Lacertidae. The record is from the annotation of a GenBank genome assembly.
GGUGGUGCAACUGGUCAGCGCGUCUGGCUGUUAACCAAAGGGUUGGUGGUUCGAGCCCAACCUGAGACG